GAGAUGAGGUAGCUGAGGGCAGGUCCAGCUGGCUGGAGGGAAAAAAAUACCAGAAGUGUUAUCCUGGAAGAGGUCACAGAAAAGAAAACAUGAACAUUGAUUCAGAAGAAGAGAUGAAUGGUUGGGAACCAAGACAGGGUGAAAUCAAGGAUGGCUGAGGAAACAGAUGAAGUGACAAGUGAGCCAGAUUUUGGAUGAUCCAAGGAAGUUAUGGGUGGCGGAGGAGAUCCAGGAGAGGUUAAUGGAAGAUGUGGGACUGAAUUGAGUCUUGCUAGUCAAAGAUAAUUUGGCUGAAGAAGAGGAUGGCAUUCUGGCAAGAAUAAAGAUGAGGAGAAGGAAUGCGCACCACAUAAUUUGGAACAGAGUCCAGACUGACCUGAAUGGAAAGCAAGCUGCAGAUAGGAAGACUGUGUGCACAUAGAUAAUUGGACAAGAUCCUCAUUUUGCAGGUAUUUGGUUGGUGUCUUAGUCCGUUCAGGCUGCUAUAAGAGAAUACUAUUGAUUGGGUGGCUUAUAAACAAUGAAAUUGUAUUUUUCACAGCUCUGGAGGCUAGGAAGCCCAAGAUCAAGGCACCACCAGAUUCAGUGUCUGGUUCAUAGACAGCUUUGUUGUGUUCUUACAUAGCAGAAGGUGGUGAGGGUGCUCUCUGGAGCCUCUGUUAUAAGAGCGCUAAUCUCAUUUAUGACAGCUCCAGUGUCAUGACCUAAUAACCUCCCAAAGGCCUUAUCUCUAAAUGCCAUCACACUGGGCAUUAGGAUUUAACAUAUGAAUUUUGAGGGGACAAAAACAUUUAGUCUAUUUGUCUAAAACUUGCUGACAAUUUGGCUUCCCAUUCAACGAGUCAGUGUCCUUAAAGACAUAUU
RNAcentral lists this long non-coding RNA (864 nucleotides) under Homo sapiens (human). RNAcentral's name for it is "HSALNT0032539". Lineage: Eukaryota; Metazoa; Chordata; Mammalia; Primates; Hominidae. The record is from RNAcentral.